UGCGGAAGGAUCAUUACCGAGUGUAGGGUUCCUAGCGAGCCCAACCUCCCACCCGUGUUUACUGUACCUUAGUUGCUUCGGCGGGCCCGCCAUUCAUGGCCGCCGGGGGCUCUCAGCCCCGGGCCCGCGCCCGCCGGAGACACCACGAACUCUGUCUGAUCUAGUGAAGUCUGAGUUGAUUGUAUCGCAAUCAGUUAAAACUUUCAACAAUGGAUCUCUUGGUUCCGGCAUCGAUGAAGAACGCAGCGAAAUGCGAUAACUAGUGUGAAUUGCAGAAUUCCGUGAAUCAUCGAGUCUUUGAACGCACAUUGCGCCCCCUGGUAUUCCGGGGGGCAUGCCUGUCCGAGCGUCAUUGCUGCCCAUCAAGCACGGCUUGUGUGUUGGGUCGUCGUCCCCUCUCCGGGGGGGACGGGCCCCAAAGGCAGCGGCGGCACCGCGUCCGAUCCUCGAGCGUAUGGGGCUUUGUCACCCGCUCUGUAGGCCCGGCCGGCGCUUGCCGAACGCAAAUCAAUCUUUUCCAGGUGACCUCGUUCAGUAGGAUACCCGCUGA
Molecule: ribosomal RNA, 550 nt
Filed under: Aspergillus flavus
Lineage: Eukaryota; Fungi; Ascomycota; Eurotiomycetes; Eurotiales; Aspergillaceae
Description: eukaryotic LSU rRNA
Rfam family: 5.8S ribosomal RNA (bases 199-352)
Source: RNAcentral